CAUGUCCUUUUGAUUAUAAUUUAAGGUCUAAUCUGCCCACUGAUAAAUUAAAUGGCCGCGGUAUUUUGACCGUGCAAAGGUAGCAUAAUAAUUAGUUUUUUAAUUGAAAGCUGGAAUGAAUGAUUGAAUGAGAAAAUGACUGUCUCAAAUUAAAUUUAGUUAGAAUUUUAUUUUUAAGUAAAAAAGCUUAAAUAUGUUUAUAAGACGAGAAGACCCUAUAGAGUUUAAUAAUUUUAAUUUUAAUUAAAAUUUAUAGUUUCAAAAAUUUAUUAAAAUUAAAUUAUUUUGUUGGGGUGACAGAAAAACUUAAAAAACUUUUUUUAUAAAUUUAUACAUAUAAGUAAAUUAUUGAUCCAAUAUUUUUGAUUAUAAGAUUAAAUUACCUUAGGGAUAACAGCGUAAUUUUUUUUAAGAGUUCUUAUCGAAAAAAAAGAUUGCGACCUCGAUGUUGGAUUAAAGUUAAAUUUUGGUGUAGAAGCUAAAAGAUUAGGUCUGUUCGACCUUUAAAACUUUACAUGAUCUGAGU
RNAcentral lists this ribosomal RNA (526 nucleotides) under Oreina elongata. Its description in RNAcentral is "partial 16S ribosomal RNA". The stretch from base 390 to 526 matches the Rfam family "Bacterial large subunit ribosomal RNA", at positions 2473 to 2610 of the family's 2925-position model. Lineage: Eukaryota; Metazoa; Arthropoda; Insecta; Coleoptera; Chrysomelidae. The record is from RNAcentral.